RNAcentral lists this ribosomal RNA (465 nucleotides) under uncultured bacterium. Its description in RNAcentral is "partial 16S ribosomal RNA". It matches the Rfam family "Bacterial small subunit ribosomal RNA", at positions 28 to 507 of the family's 1533-position model. The record is from RNAcentral.
GACGAACGCUGGCGGCGUGCUUAACACAUGCAAGUCGAACGCUGAACCCGCUUCGGCGGGGGAUGAGUGGCGGACGGGUGCGUAACACGUGGGCAACCUGCCCCCGGCUCUGGGAUAACUCCAAGAAAUUGGGGCUAAUACCGGAUGUGACCGCUGGCCGCAUGGUCUGGUGGUGGAAAGGGUUUCCGGCUGGGGAUGGGCCCGCGGCCUAUCAGCUUGUUGGUGGGGUAGUGGCCUACCAAGGCGACGACGGGUAGCCGGCCUGAGAGGGUGACCGGCCACACUGGGACUGAGACACGGCCCAGACUCCUACGGGAGGCAGCAGUGGGGAAUAUUGCGCAAUGGGCGGAAGCCCGACGCAGCGACGCCGCGUGGGGGAUGACGGCCUUCGGGUUGUAAACCUCUUUCAGCAGGGACGAAGCGCAAGUGACGGUACCUGCAGAAGAAGCACCGGCCAACUACGUG